This 397-nucleotide ribosomal RNA is filed under the name uncultured bacterium. RNAcentral describes it as "bacterial SSU rRNA". It matches the Rfam family "Bacterial small subunit ribosomal RNA", at positions 28 to 429 of the family's 1533-position model. The record is from RNAcentral.
GACGAACGCUGGCGGCGUGCUUAACACAUGCAAGUCGAGCGGUAAGGCCCUUUCGGGGGUACACGAGCGGCGAACGGGUGAGUAACACGUGGGUGACCUGCCCUCAGCUCUGGGAUAAGCCUGGGAAACCGGGUCUAAUACCGGAUAUGACUCCAUGACGCAUGUUGUGGGGUGGAAAGCCUUGUGCGGCUGAGGAUGGGCCCGCGGCCUAUCAGCUUGUUGGUGGGGUGAUGGCCUACCAAGGCGACGACGGGUAGCCGGCCUGAGGGGGCGACCGGCCACACUGGGACUGAGACACGGCCCAGACUCCUACGGGAGGCAGCAGUGGGGAAUCUUGCGCAAUGGGCGAAAGCCUGACGCAGCGACGCCGCGUGAGGGAUGACGGCCUGGUUGUAAC